This 1268-nucleotide long non-coding RNA is filed under the name Cairina moschata (Muscovy duck). RNAcentral describes it as "domestica (muscovy Duck (domestic type)) lncRNA (ENSCMMG00000002734.1)". The record is from RNAcentral. Lineage: Eukaryota; Metazoa; Chordata; Aves; Anseriformes; Anatidae.
GGUUUAAUAGUACAGAUGGGACUCUGCUGGCAAUGAAUGAAUGAAAGGAGCUGACAUAGAUUCUCCUUCUGUCAAGACUUCUAGCGACACCCCAUUAUCAAUCAGCUGAACUUCAGGGAAUCCCCUGAGCAUCCUUGGGGAAUGGGGCCGUGUUGGUCCUUCGAAGCCAUGGACUGAGGCUCUUUUGCCAUGUUCUGCAGAACUCUCUUCCCUUUUCCAGAAAAGGAAAGCUUCUGUCCUCUGGUUUGGAGACAGCCUUAGCACAGCAAAUCAGUGCACUGCUGUAUUGUUUGCUCUGCCGGCAGCCUGAAACAAUACAACACCAACAGAUGUGUGAACUUUUCCAUUCAUUGUAAUGAAGUGUUAGUUGCAAAACAGAGUUUUGGCGAUUUAAAUUGCCUCGUAUGCAUCAGACUGUGAAAGAGGUUUAAAAUAAAUCAUGAAUAAGUUAUAAAUAUUGUAUUUUUGGAAUUAUCAGCUCUAACAAGUCCACUGGCAAUAGAAAGUGAAGACUUAGGCAGAAUGAGGCCUGAUGUCUCUCAUUAAAGUUACCACCAGUGUUUCAAGAUGAAAUUAUAGCAUUGUGGUGAUGUAGCUCUGAUUCCAUAGAAAAGGCUGAGAAGACAUUUUCAAAUUUUUAAAACUUGAAAAAAAAAAAAAAAAAGAGAGAGAGAGAAUGGGAGAGAAGAGAAGGCUUCUGGUUGAAAAGUAUCAUCCAUGUUCUGCCAAGGAAGAGUGUUCUGAAACUAUUCACCAUAAUAUUCCAGCAGUUUGUGCUUGAUGUGGAGUUACUGGAUGGUUAAGUGUAGCCUUUGAGGGUUUUGUUCAGUUAUUCCUGAGUUUGGAAGAUAAAGAGUAGGUAGACCAAGACAAUGACUCAGAGAUGGAUUAGAAGAACAAACUGGAUUGCUAAAUCUUUGGGGGAAGAAGACUAUAUGUUCCUGGGCUUGUAUAGAAACCAGGAGACACAUGCCAUAAUUCUGGUGUAUGAAAUAAGAAGCGAGGUCUUCCCAGCCACUGCGUUGAACCAGACUGCCCAAACCCAGCAGCGUGUUUGUCUUGGAGCAAUGCAGGGCUCAAUACAAAUGUUACUUGACCUAGAAAAUGAGGGCUCACAAGGAAAAGGAGAAGCCUUUCAAUAUUUUGAUGAAUCUUGUGAAACGGAUGCAUUUCCUGGGAAGACUGUCAAAAGAGUAAAUUUCAGUGAUGGCUUGCCCCACUCCUACGAUUAUUCCUAUGGUCAAAAUAAUUGCCUGAUGUACAAAUAG